GGUCAUGAGUGCCAGUGCGAAGCCCCGGCUCGCUGGCCGGCAACCCUCCCAGACCGCGGUGGGGUGCCCCGGGUGAGGACCAGGUCGACGGACACCGUCCGUCGGCAAGCGCGGAGA
RNAcentral lists this non-coding RNA (117 nucleotides) under Intrasporangium chromatireducens Q5-1. RNAcentral's name for it is "Intrasporangium sp. Q5-1 SAM (S-adenosyl methionine) riboswitch aptamer". It matches the Rfam family "SAM (S-adenosyl methionine) riboswitch aptamer". From Rfam's summary of the family: SAM-IV is a mRNA element that regulates gene expression via direct sensing of S-adenosylmethionine (SAM or AdoMet). SAM-IV riboswitches share conserved nucleotide positions with the previously described SAM-I riboswitches sequence analysis and molecular recognition experiments suggest that SAM-I and SAM-IV riboswitches share similar ligand binding sites, but have different scaffolds. RNAcentral also lists the same sequence under 1 other name. The record is from Rfam by way of RNAcentral. Lineage: Bacteria; Bacillati; Actinomycetota; Actinomycetes; Micrococcales; Intrasporangiaceae.